AACGAACGCUGGCGGCAUGCCUAACACAUGCAAGUCGAACGAAGGCUUCGGCCUUAGUGGCGCACGGGUGCGUAACGCGUGGGAAUCUGCCCUUUGGUUCGGAAUAACAGCUGGAAACGGCUGCUAAUACCGGAUGAUGACGAAAGUCCAAAGAUUUAUCGCCAGAGGAUGAGCCCGCGUUGGAUUAGGUAGUUGGUGGGGUAAAGGCCUACCAAGCCGACGAUCCAUAGCUGGUCUGAGAGGAUGAUCAGCCACACUGGGACUGAGACACGGCCCAGACUCCGACGGGAGGCAGCAGUGGGGAAUAUUGGACAAGGGGCGCAAGCCUGAUCCAGCAAUGCCGCGUGAGUGAUGAAGGCCCUAGGGUUGUAAAGCUCUUUUACCCGGGAAGAGAAUGACUGUACCGGGAGAAUAAGCCCCGGCUAACUCCGUG
This 433-nucleotide ribosomal RNA is filed under the name uncultured bacterium. Its description in RNAcentral is "partial 16S ribosomal RNA". It matches the Rfam family "Bacterial small subunit ribosomal RNA", at positions 29 to 507 of the family's 1533-position model. The record is from RNAcentral.